This 242-nucleotide long non-coding RNA is filed under the name Elaeis guineensis (African oil palm). Its description in RNAcentral is "long non-coding RNA (EGUI_LNC022352)". The record is from RNAcentral. Lineage: Eukaryota; Viridiplantae; Streptophyta; Magnoliopsida; Arecales; Arecaceae.
UGGAUCCUUGUGAGACAUCACCUUGCGACACUCACAAGACUUGCCUGUGUAGCGAGAAGACACCUUCAGCCAAAUAUCUGCCUCUAGUACCUCGGCUUACCAAUGCCUUCACCUUGAGAGCAGUUCCAUUAAGCCAAAUGUCUGCCUCUAGUACCUCGGCUUACCAACACCUUCACCCUGAGAGCAGUUUCACUAAGCCAAAUAUCUACCUCUAGUACCUCGGCUUACCAACGCCUUCACCC